AUGAGUAGCAACUGGAGGGCAAGUCUGGUGCCAGCAGCCGCGGUAAUUCCAGCUCCAGUAGUGUAUCCCAAAGUUGCUGCGGUUAAAACGCUCGUAGUUGGACAAUAGAGUAACUCGGUGCGGGCGGGGAGUGUAUACAACUCGAAAGAGUAUUGUUCUUCGGAACUCUGUUUAAUUGUUUUGGACCACUUGUCGACCUUGCAGCUGGGUUGCUUAGAUUAUUUUGUGAGAACAUUUUAUGGCCUUUAUUGUGCUGUGUCAUGUAUCUUGCAUAACGUGCCUUGAAUAAAUCAGAGUGCUCAAAGCAAGCUUACGCUUGAAUGUUAAUAGCAUGGAACGAAUGUUUAGUGAACGCAGCAUUAGGGAUCUUCGGAUUCCUGGUGUUGUAGCACCAACCACGGAGCAGAGCAUUGGUUGCUGU
This 421-nucleotide ribosomal RNA is filed under the name Sphaeromyxa sp. 1456. RNAcentral describes it as "SSU rRNA". It matches the Rfam family "Eukaryotic small subunit ribosomal RNA", at positions 537 to 895 of the family's 1831-position model. Lineage: Eukaryota; Metazoa; Cnidaria; Myxozoa; Bivalvulida; Sphaeromyxidae. The record is from RNAcentral.